GGAGUCAAAAUCUGUCUAAUGAUAGAAUAGGCCAUUUUGGCCACUCAAUAUGUUAGGAGGCUCCAUGGGAUUAUGGUUUCUUGAUGCAUUAUAAGCUUCUUUUGAUUAGUGGGAAAAAUGAAUUUCAAUACCACCUUCCUAUCCUCCCCACCAACCAUACAACAUCUUUACAAACUGAAUAAAAAUGGUAAUUUGUCAGGUUUACAUCUAUUCAAAGUGCACAACACCUUCCUACUUUGUUUUCAAUUUAUAUUUUUCAUUUUUCUUUCUUUCUAACCGGUACAAUAGUGUUUGGUCCUCCUUCGAAAAGUGUCAUUAAGGGCAUGAAAAUAUCUAUAAUAAUUCUAGAAAUAGUUUAUCAAUACAAAUAAAAUCAUCAGUAAAUGCACCUCCCAUAUGAGGCUGUAUAAUAAAUCCAUUCAAUUUGAACACAAAUCUCUCCCUCCACCCGAAUCACUCAAUAUGUAUAUACGUGCAUACUCACACACACACACACACACACACACACACACACACACAGAGAGGAUUAACUAAGCAACAAUGACUUGCACAUUAAUUAAUUGGUAAAUAAGUUCAUGGUAGAUCUCACGAAUUAAAUGAUCCAUCAAUUAGUUGAUGUAUCAUAUCACUGUUGCUAAGCAGCAACGAUGUGAUAUGACUGACUAUACAAUAUUUUUGUAGUAAAAAAUAAAUAUCAACUAUCUACAAGAUAGUUGAAUCAAGAGCUAAAUUUCAAUUAUUUUCGAAGACUCUCAUUUCUGAUUGUUAGGCAAAUAUUCAGCUACAAGGGGAAAUGUAAAUGGUUCAUUCUACCGAACAACAAAACUUGAAAACAGUGAAAUACUCAUUUUCACUAUUAUAAAUACUUUGCAAUAAAAAGUCAAUAUAAUUAAUUUGGAUUUAUGAUAUGAUCAAAAUAAAGAGUACAUGAUGAUCUAAGAUGAUACUGCAAAAAGUAGUCGUGGAGUCACUAAUUUCUUCAUACAAUAUUUCUAAUUUUGGAAAUGGAAUUGCCUUCCCAACCCAAUACCUCCCUUUUUCUCCAAUUCCUGUAUGUCACUAAACGUAUCCUAAAAAUCCUACAUAACUUUUUUUCUUCCUAAACAUUCCCAAGUUGAAUAAUUAUAGCCCCCACAAUAAUCUCUCCCUCUCAAUGAUGUAAGCAUUUUUUUUGGGGAAAAGAUUAUCACAACUCAACUAAUAGAUUGGCCUAGAUUAUGUAUUCAUGUUUCAUGGCAACACAUGUAUACAUGUAUCCAUUGAAUACCAUGGACAAAAGACAGACUUGAUAUGUACAUGUUGUUAUGUUGUGAAAUUUAUUUAUUAUCUAUCCUAACUAUUGCCACUUCCCAGAGCUAGUUGGUAAUCGACCUCCCAAUGAGUUCGCUGUGCGGGUUGAAGGGUGGCAAGAGGUCCCCCUCCCGGGGAUGAAGGAGGGGGGGG
Molecule: long non-coding RNA, 1443 nt
Filed under: Olea europaea (common olive)
Lineage: Eukaryota; Viridiplantae; Streptophyta; Magnoliopsida; Lamiales; Oleaceae
Description: long non-coding RNA (OEUR_LNC007253)
Source: RNAcentral